AGGCUUGAGCCACCAGUAUCGUAGCCAAUGAGGUUUAUCCGAGGUGCGAUUAUUGCUAAUUGAAACUUUUCCCAAUACCCCGCCCUGACGACUUGCAAUAAAAUGUUUUAUUAGUGAACAAUAUAAUAUCUGAAACAGG
Molecule: small nuclear RNA, 139 nt
Filed under: Colobus angolensis palliatus
Lineage: Eukaryota; Metazoa; Chordata; Mammalia; Primates; Cercopithecidae
Description: U4 spliceosomal RNA (ENSCANG00000007821.1)
Rfam family: U4 spliceosomal RNA
About the family: U4 small nuclear RNA (U4 snRNA) is a component of the major U2-dependent spliceosome. The structure of U4 snRNA from yeast and human has been reported.
Source: Rfam by way of RNAcentral